Molecule: microRNA precursor, 90 nt
Filed under: Sphingopyxis panaciterrulae
Lineage: Bacteria; Pseudomonadati; Pseudomonadota; Alphaproteobacteria; Sphingomonadales; Sphingopyxidaceae
Description: microRNA MIR1846
Source: RNAcentral
AAUUAACGUCGCCCCUGCGAAGGCAGGGGCCGCUGGAAACUUGGCGCAAGGCGGGCUGCGGCCCCCGCCUGCGCGGGGGCGACGCGCGGA